ACAUAAAACAUGGUUGGACUUAUAAUUUAACUGGUUUGGUAAAGAUAGUGGACUAAUGACACUAACUAAUAUUAGUAUGUUCACUAGCUUUGACUCCUAAAAGACGUUAAACUCUUUAUAAUAGAAAAGUAACGAAAAUUCAUAAACAAGGGGUUUAGUUAUCGUUUACUUCGAAUUAUUAAACCGUAUAGUCUUAGUUACGUAGUAGUUGUUAAUAUUACCAACGACGUAGCACUAAAGCUUUUAUUUAACGGUUUAGGUCCCAAUUUCAUAAGCGGAACGUUCGAUUAAGACAGCGAAAAUUCUCCGUUACAAGACUAGGUGUGCUGGUGCUGCUGCAUAAUCUCGAGCAUACGGGGACUAGGCUUGGGUAUUUACAUUUAAAGCAUUUUGAAAUAAGUAUUAUUGGUUUUUCUAAGACUUAUAUAUGGUUUGUGGUUUGAAUGAAAGGGGUCAUUGAUGAUUCCCGAGUUGUAUUUAUA
Molecule: long non-coding RNA, 482 nt
Organism: Beta vulgaris subsp. vulgaris (sugar beet)
Lineage: Eukaryota; Viridiplantae; Streptophyta; Magnoliopsida; Caryophyllales; Amaranthaceae
Exons: 2
Source: RefSeq, a predicted model, not a curated record